UUCUUGAAAUACAAUAGCAAGUCUAAUUAUCUGUUUUUAGAAUUGGUGUUCGAAAUCAUGAUUUCUGAGUGAACUUCAAUGGAGCAUAAAAUCUUGGAGGAAACAUUGAUAUCAAUCUAAUGACAUUCCAUAGGAAUAAAAAUCCAAUGGGAUCCAGUUCUUAGCAGUCCCAGCCUAUUCAGAAGUACAAAGUCAAAUACCAUUUGCACAUCACCAAGAGGUACAAUCUGAUGAGUAACAGGAUAUCUGAUCUAAAAGCUUGCCAGGUUUCACAGGCUGUUUGAGUAUCACCAGGGCAGAUCAAGAAGAAAUAUGAAGGCCAGGUUCAUAACAAGCAGUUGCUUUAUUGCAAUUACAGAUUUAAA
Molecule: long non-coding RNA, 365 nt
Filed under: Lytechinus variegatus (green sea urchin)
Lineage: Eukaryota; Metazoa; Echinodermata; Echinoidea; Temnopleuroida; Toxopneustidae
Description: uncharacterized LOC121416765
Source: RNAcentral